UGGAGCUUGCUCCAUGAUUCAGCGGCGGACGGGUGAGUAAUGCCUAGGAAUCUGCCUGGUAGUGGGGGAUAACGUUUCGAAAGGAACGCUAAUACCGCAUACGUCCUACGGGAGAAAGUGGGGGAUCUUCGGACCUCACGCUAUCAGAUGAGCCUAGGUCGGAUUAGCUAGUUGGUGGGGUAAUGGCCCACCAAGGCGACGAUCCGUAACUGGUCUGAGAGGAUGAUCAGUCACACUGGAACUGAGACACGGUCCAGACUCCUACGGGAGGCAGCAGUGGGGAAUAUUGGACAAUGGGCGAAAGCCUGAUCCAGCCAUGCCGCGUGUGUGAAGAAGGUCUUCGGAUUGUAAAGCACUUUAAGUUGGGAGGAAGGGCAGUAAGUUAAUACCUUGCUGUUUUGACGUUACCAACAGAAUAAGCACCGGCUAACUUCGUGCCAGCAGCCGCGGUAAUACGAAGGGUGCAAGCGUUAAUCGGAAUUACUGGGCGUAAAGCGCGCGUAGGUGGUUCAGCAAGUUGGAUGUGAAAGCCCCGGGCUCAACCUGGGAAUUGCAUCCAAAACUACUGAGCUAGAGUACGGUAGAGGGUGGUGGAAUUUCCUGUGUAGCGGUGAAAUGCGUAGAUAUAGGAAGGAACACCAGUGGCGAAGGCGACCACCUGGACUGAUACUGACACUGAGGUGCGAAAGCGUGGGGAGCAAA
RNAcentral lists this ribosomal RNA (702 nucleotides) under Pseudomonas sp. RNAcentral's name for it is "bacterial SSU rRNA". It matches the Rfam family "Bacterial small subunit ribosomal RNA", at positions 74 to 772 of the family's 1533-position model. Lineage: Bacteria; Pseudomonadati; Pseudomonadota; Gammaproteobacteria; Pseudomonadales; Pseudomonadaceae. The record is from RNAcentral.